AUCAAAAACCCCAGAACCUUCAACCUGCAAAACAUCAUGCUCAUCAUGAUUUUACUUCUUGAUCAUCAAAAUAGAUUCGAAUUCAUUUGGGUUAUAUUUUUUUUCAUAAUUUAAAAAUAAAUAUAUUAUUAAUAAGAAUUCAUUAAAAACUUAUAAUGGACAAGCUAACUAAAACUUAACUAGGUUAAUAGAUUUUACAGAACACCAGAAAUUAAGCACGUCGUCAUGCUAAGAAAAAGAAUAGGAUAUCACUUUGGCCAUAUGAGGAUGCCUAGGGGUGGCCCUGGCCCCCAAGCUCCAUGAAUUUUUUAUUUUUACAUAUACUAUUUAGAUAAAAAUUUUUAACUAUUUUUAUUGAGUCUCUCCAAAUUAAUUAAUCAUAUUUAAAAUAUAGAGUUGCACUAAUAAUAAUUAAUUAAAAAAAUAUAGUAGAAACAACCGAUUAUAACAAGAAUAUAAAAUAAUAAAAUAAUAAUUAUUAACUAAAGCAGCCAAUUAAAAAAUUU
RNAcentral lists this unclassified non-coding RNA (506 nucleotides) under Hevea brasiliensis (rubber tree). The record is from RNAcentral. Lineage: Eukaryota; Viridiplantae; Streptophyta; Magnoliopsida; Malpighiales; Euphorbiaceae.